UCAGAUUGAACGCUGGCGGCAUGCCUUACACAUGCAAGUCGAACGGCAGCACGGGGCAACCUGGUGGCGAGUGGCGAACGGGUGAGUAAUGCAUCGGAACGUGCCAUUGAGUGGGGGAUAACGUAGCGAAAGUUGCGCUAAUACCGCAUAUUCUGUGAGCAGGAAAGCAGGGGACCGCAAGGCCUUGCGCUCUUUGAGCGGCCGAUGUCAGAUUAGCUAGUUGGUGAGGUAACGGCUUACCAAGGCGACGAUCUGUAGCGGGUCUGAGAGGAUGAUCCGCCACACUGGAACUGAGACACGGUCCAGACUCCUACGGGAGGCAGCAGUGGGGAAUUUUGGACAAUGGGCGCAAGCCUGAUCCAGCCAUGCCGCGUGAGUGAAGAAGGCCUUCGGGUUGUAAAGCUCUUUCGGCCGGGAAGAAAUCGCAUGGGUUAAUACCCUGUGUGGAUGACGGUACCGGAAUAAGAAGCACCGGCUAACUACGUG
This 486-nucleotide ribosomal RNA is filed under the name uncultured bacterium. Its description in RNAcentral is "bacterial SSU rRNA". It matches the Rfam family "Bacterial small subunit ribosomal RNA", at positions 24 to 507 of the family's 1533-position model. The record is from RNAcentral.